GCCCAAGAUUGAAAGCUGGCGUCUUCGGCGUCCGCAUUGUAAUCUCAAGAAGUGUUUUCCGCUUCGGACCAUGCCUAAGUCCCUUGGAAAAGGGCAUCAUAGAGGGUGAUAAUCCCGUACAUGGCAUGGAGCGCCCGAAGCUUUGUGAUACGCUUUCUAAGAGUCGAGUUGUUUGGGAAUGCAGCUCAAAAUGGGUGGUAAAUGCCAUCUAAGGCUAAAUAUUGGGGAGAGACCGAUAGCGAACAAGUACAGUGAUGGAAAGAUGAAAAGAACUUUGAAAAGAGAGUUAAACAGUACGUGAAAUUGCCAAAAGGGAAGGGUAGGAGGUCAGAGAUGCGGCCUGGGAUUCAGCCUUGCUUUUGCUUGGUGUUUUUCCCAGAUUGCAGGCCAACGUCGGUUUUGGGCACUGGAGAAGGGUAGGAGGAACGUGGCACCUCUCGGGGUGUGUUAUAGCCUCCUACUGGAUACAGCGACCGAGACCGAGGACAGCAGCGUACUCGCAAGAGCGGGCCUUCGGGCACCUUUACGCUUAGGGCGUUGGCAUAAUGGCCCUCUACCACCCGUCUUGAA
Molecule: ribosomal RNA, 570 nt
Filed under: uncultured Pseudozyma
Lineage: Eukaryota; Fungi; Basidiomycota; Ustilaginomycetes; Ustilaginales; Ustilaginaceae
Description: eukaryotic LSU rRNA
Rfam family: Eukaryotic large subunit ribosomal RNA
Source: RNAcentral